RNAcentral lists this small RNA (370 nucleotides) under Pan troglodytes (chimpanzee). RNAcentral's name for it is "processed transcript". Lineage: Eukaryota; Metazoa; Chordata; Mammalia; Primates; Hominidae. The record is from RNAcentral.
CAAAAUUCAUCCAUAAGAUGUUGGAUGGUAGAACAGUUUCCUGUCUGCUGACUGGAUUGUUCCACCCAGCGCCAUGUGUCCAGGCCCGUCCAGGUUGUGGCAGCUGUUGGUGCUGCCCUCCUUUUCAUGGCUGAGUAGUAUUCCAUCAUCUGGAAGGAGCACAUUUUGUCUGUCUGUUCCUCCAUUGGUGGACAUUUGGCCUGUAUCCGCCUUGCAGCUGCGACCAAGCUGUACACCCUGCCUGCAAGCCACGCCACGCGUGUGUAUGAGAUGCUGGUCAGCCACAUUCAGCUCCACUACAAGCACAGCUACACCCUGCCAAUCGCGAGCAGCAUCCGGCUGCAGGCCUUUGACUUCCUGUUGCUGCUGC